CCUACGGGAGGCAGCAGUGGGGAAUAUUGGGCAAUGGGCGCAAGCCUGACCCAGCAACGCCGCGUGAAUGAAGAAGGCUUUCGGGUUGUAAGCUUCUUUUCUGAGGGACGAAGAAAGUGACGGUACUACAGGAAUCAGCCACGGCUAACUACGUGCCAGCAGCCGCGGUAAUACGUAGGUGGCAAGCGUUAUCCGGAUUUAGUGGGUGUAAAGGGCGUGUAGGCGGGAAAGCAAGUCAGAUGUGAAAACUCAGGGCUCAACCCUGAGACUGCAUUUGAAACUGUUUUGCUUGAGUGCUGGAGAGGCAAUCGGAAUUCCGUGUGUAGCGGUGAAAUGCGUAGAGAUACGGAGGAACACCAGUGGCGAAGGCGGAUUGCUGGACAAUAACUGACGCUGAGGCGCGAAAGCGUGGGGAGCAAACAGGAUUAGAUACCCCUGUAGUC
RNAcentral lists this ribosomal RNA (443 nucleotides) under uncultured bacterium. RNAcentral's name for it is "partial 16S ribosomal RNA". It matches the Rfam family "Bacterial small subunit ribosomal RNA", at positions 338 to 795 of the family's 1533-position model. The record is from RNAcentral.